CCUACGGGGGGCAGCAGUGGGGGAUAUUGGACAAUGGGGGGAACCCUGAUCCAGCGACGCCGCGUGAGUGAAGAAGUAUUUCGGUAUGUAAAGCUCUGUCAGCAGGGAAGAAAGCAAUGACGGUACCUGACCAAGAAGCCCCGGCUAACUACGUGCCAGCAGCCGCGGUAAUACGUAGGGGGCAAGCGUUAUCCGGAAUUACUGGGGGUAAAGGGGGCGUAGACGGCUGUGCAAGUCUGGAGUGAAAGGCGGGGGCCCAACCCCCGGACUGCUUUGGAAACCGUAUGGCUGGAGUGCAGGGGAGGUAAGCGGAAUUCCUAGUGUAGCGGUGAAAUGCGUAGAUAUUAGGAGGAACACCAGUGGCGAAGGCGGCUUACUGGACUGUAACUGACGUUGAGGCUCGAAAGCGUGGGGAGCAAACAGGAUUAGAUACCCUUGUAGUC
Molecule: ribosomal RNA, 443 nt
Filed under: uncultured bacterium
Lineage: Bacteria
Description: partial 16S ribosomal RNA
Rfam family: Bacterial small subunit ribosomal RNA
Source: RNAcentral